RNAcentral lists this transfer RNA (72 nucleotides) under Bos taurus (domestic cattle). It matches the Rfam family "tRNA". From Rfam's summary of the family: Transfer RNA (tRNA) molecules are approximately 80 nucleotides in length. Their secondary structure includes four short double-helical elements and three loops (D, anti-codon, and T loops). RNAcentral also lists the same sequence under 2 other names. The record is from Rfam by way of RNAcentral. Lineage: Eukaryota; Metazoa; Chordata; Mammalia; Artiodactyla; Bovidae.
UCCCUGGUGGCUCAGAGGUUAAAGCGUCUGCCUGCAAUGCGGGAGACCCGGGUUCAGUCCCUGGGUUGGGAA